Drosophila innubila is the source of this 200-nucleotide long non-coding RNA. RefSeq lists it as uncharacterized. The record is from RefSeq and is a predicted model, not a curated record. The transcript has 4 exons. NCBI's taxonomy places the organism in Eukaryota, Metazoa, Arthropoda, Insecta, Diptera, Drosophilidae.
AAAACAAACAACGCAAAAAGGAACGACGGCGACAAAAAAACUGCAACAAUAAAUACAACAGGGACCAUUUGCAGGACCCGGGCGUACCCUCCCUUUCUGAGACGGCAUGCAUUCCUCGUCUCCCAUAUGUUGGCCACCCGAACGGGCCAAUCUCAGCCUGCGUUGGACAUCUCGUUUGCCUCCCCUGGUACAAAAAAUUA